Seriola aureovittata is the source of this 525-nucleotide long non-coding RNA. RefSeq lists it as uncharacterized. Lineage: Eukaryota; Metazoa; Chordata; Actinopteri; Carangiformes; Carangidae. The record is from RefSeq and is a predicted model, not a curated record. The transcript has 3 exons.
CCCUCUUGAGAGCUGAGUGUGUUUACCGACGUGGUAUGAAAGUCGAUUAAGCAAUGAAGUAACUCACUCAAAGUUAAUGUUGUGUUAACAUGUGUUAAUGCAAACUUUAUUGUAACCAUAUAAAAUCACAGGGUGGAUUAAAAAACAGAGAACACUGUGCCGUUCCUGUCGGAGAAAUGAGACCAGACGCCAUUUUUCAGUUCAAAGCUAAUUCAUUGCACUGGUCAGGUUCUUUUGGUUGGAUUAAUUCUCCCGAGACGAGCUGAGACUUUGGAGGAGAUCUCAGAGCCGUUGGAGAAGAUUUGAGAGACGAUUCCAGAGAGAACCUUUUUCAGUGCUGGAUGGCGAGCCCAGCCCACAUAAUACCGAACCUGUGAUACCGAGCCUGAUGCCUGCAAUAAGGAGGCGGUGAACUAGGGAACACUCAAGUAUUCCAUGCCUACUUCAAGUGUGCUCCACACUGAGCUGCCUCUCGUGUCCUCACCUUGCUGAGCUCCUGCAGCUCCCAGCUGAGCCUGAACGCAG